This 66-nucleotide transfer RNA is filed under the name Xylophagaidae sp. E23. Its description in RNAcentral is "tRNA-Asp". The record is from RNAcentral. RNAcentral also lists the same sequence under 1 other name. Lineage: Eukaryota; Metazoa; Mollusca; Bivalvia; Myida; Xylophagaidae.
GAGGAAGCAGUAUUAGAGUACUUUAAAUUGUCGUUUUAAGAAUGUUGACUAUGUCAACCUUUCUCU